RNAcentral lists this ribosomal RNA (780 nucleotides) under uncultured bacterium. RNAcentral describes it as "bacterial SSU rRNA". It matches the Rfam family "Bacterial small subunit ribosomal RNA", at positions 59 to 829 of the family's 1533-position model. The record is from RNAcentral.
CAGUCGAGCGGCAAGGGCCUUCGGGCCCCUAGAGCGGCGGACGGGUGAGUAACACGUGGACAAUCUGCCCCCCGGCCGGGGAUAGCCCAGGGAAACCUGGAUUAAUACCGGAUGAGACGGGACCCGCGAUGGCGGGAUCCGGGAAAGGCGCUACGGCGCCGCCGGGGGAUGAGUCUGCGUCCCAUUAGCUAGACGGCGGGGUAACGGCCCACCGUGGCGACGAUGGGUAGCCGGCCUGAGAGGGUGGACGGCCACAUUGGAACUGAGACACGGUCCAGACUCCUACGGGAGGCAGCAGCUAAGAAUCUUCCGCAAUGGGCGAAAGCCUGACGGAGCGACGCCGCGUGAACGAAGAAGGCCGUGAGGUUGUAAAGUUCUUUUCGGGAGGGGGAACAACCGUGGCAGGGAAUGGCCGCGGGAUGACGUGAAUCCCGGAAUAAGCCCCGGCUAACUACGUGCCAGCAGCCGCGGUAACACGUAGGGGGCGAGCGUUGUUCGGAAUCAUUGGGCGUAAAGGGCGUGCAGGCGGUCCUGCAAGUCCGGCGUGAAAGACCCCGGCCCAACCGGGGGGACGCGCUGGAAACUGCGGGGCUUGAGUACAGGAGGGGAUGCCGGAAUUCCAGGUGUAGGGGUGAAAUCUGUAGAUAUCUGGAAGAACACCAAUGGCGAAGGCAGGCAUCUGGCCAUGUACUGACGCUGAGACGCGAAGGUGCGGGGAGCAAACAGGUUUAGAUACCCUGGUAGUCCGCACAGUAAACGAUGUGCACCAGGUGGCGGGGG